CCUACGGGAGGCAGCAGUGAGGAAUAUUGGUCAAUGGACGAGAGUCUGAACCAGCCAAGUAGCGUGAAGGAUGACUGCCCUAUGGGUUGUAAACUUCUUUUAUAUGGGAAUAAAACGUUCCACGUGUGGGAUUUUGUAUGUACCAUAUGAAUAAGGAUCGGCUAACUCCGUGCCAGCAGCCGCGGUAAUACGGAGGAUCCGAGCGUUAUCGGGUUUUAUUGGGUUUAAAGGGAGCGUAGGUGGAUUGUUAAGUCAGUUGUGAAAGUUUGCGGCUCAACCGUAAAAUUGCAGUUGAAACUGGCAGUCUUGAGUACAGUAGAGGUGGGCGGAAUUCGUGGUGUAGCGGUGAAAUGCUUAGAUAUCACGAAGAACUCCGAUUGCGAAGGCAGUUCACUGGACUGCAACUGACACUGAGGCUCGAAAGUGUGGGUAUCAAACAGGAUUAGAUACCCUUGUAGUC
This 460-nucleotide ribosomal RNA is filed under the name uncultured bacterium. RNAcentral's name for it is "partial 16S ribosomal RNA". It matches the Rfam family "Bacterial small subunit ribosomal RNA", at positions 338 to 795 of the family's 1533-position model. The record is from RNAcentral.